Long non-coding RNA from Helianthus annuus (common sunflower), 199 nucleotides. RefSeq lists it as uncharacterized. The transcript has 3 exons. Lineage: Eukaryota; Viridiplantae; Streptophyta; Magnoliopsida; Asterales; Asteraceae. The record is from RefSeq and is a predicted model, not a curated record.
CUGGGUUCAACUUCUUUUAGGGUUUCUUUCUCCGAUGGAAAAAAGAUCCAGAUGAAGAUGGAGCGGUGGAGAUACCGUCGACUUAGAUCUACCUUACCACCAUCGAGCCAGAUCUGAGGUUACACGACUAAGGAAUAUGAUAACCAUAACUUUGCAGAUCUGAGUUCUUAGAGGAAUAUUGACAGCCCGGAUCUGGUAU